Molecule: ribosomal RNA, 409 nt
Filed under: uncultured Nitrososphaerota archaeon
Lineage: Archaea; Thermoproteati; Nitrososphaerota
Description: bacterial SSU rRNA
Rfam family: Archaeal small subunit ribosomal RNA
Source: RNAcentral
CUGGUGUCAGCCGCCGCGGUAAUACCAGCACCCCGAGUGGUCGGGACGAUUAUUGGGCCUAAAGCAUCCGUAGCCGGUCAUGCAAGUCUUCCGUUAAAUCCGGCCGCUCAACGGUUGGGCUGCGGAGGAUACUACGUGGCUAGGAGGCGGGAGAGGCAAGCGGUACUCAGUGGGUAGGGGUAAAAUCCUUUGAUCCAUUGAAGACCACCAGUGGCGAAGGCGGCUUGCCAGAACGCGCUCGACGGUGAGGGAUGAAAGCUGGGGGAGCAAACCGGAUUAGAUACCCGGGUAGUCCCAGCUGUAAACGAUGCAGACUCGGUGAUGGGAUGGCCUCGAGCUAUCCCAGUGCCGCAGGGAAGCCGUUAAGUCUGCCGCCUGGGGAGUACGGUCGCAAGACUGAAACUUAAAG